CUAAGAAUAUUCCGCAAUGGACGGAAGUCUGACGGAGCGACGCCGCGUGGAUGACGAAGGCCGAAAGGUUGUAAAGUUCUUUUGCUGGGGAGGAAUAACCGCAGGAGGGAAUGCCUGUGGGAUGACAAGAACCGGCGAAUAAGCCCCGGCCAACUACGUGCCAGCAGCCGCGGUAACACGUAGGGGGGCGAGCGUUGUUCGGAAUUACUGGGCGUAAAGGGCAUGUAGGCGGCUUGGAAAGCCUGGCGUGAAAGUCUGCAGCUUAACUGCAGGGGUGCGCUGGGAACUGCUGAGCUUGAGUGACGGAGAGGGAGCUGGAAUUCCUGGUGUAGGGGCGAAAUCUGUAGAUAUCAGGAAGAACACCGAUGGCGAAGGCAAGCUCCUGGCCGAUGACUGACGCUGAGGUGCGAAAGUGUGGGGAUCAAACAGGAUUAGAUACCCUGGUAGUCCACACAGUCAACGAUGUGCACUAGGUGCUGGGGCGGUAGCUUCGGUGCCGGAGCGAACGUGGUAAGUGCACCGCCUGGGGAGUAUGCUCGCAAGGGUGAAACUC
RNAcentral lists this ribosomal RNA (553 nucleotides) under uncultured bacterium. RNAcentral's name for it is "partial 16S ribosomal RNA". It matches the Rfam family "Bacterial small subunit ribosomal RNA", at positions 355 to 902 of the family's 1533-position model. The record is from RNAcentral.